This 404-nucleotide ribosomal RNA is filed under the name Fusobacteriota bacterium. RNAcentral describes it as "Fusobacteria bacterium partial 16S ribosomal RNA". It matches the Rfam family "Bacterial small subunit ribosomal RNA", at positions 355 to 776 of the family's 1533-position model. Lineage: Bacteria; Fusobacteriati; Fusobacteriota. The record is from RNAcentral.
UGGGGAAUAUUGCACAAUGGAGGGAACUCUGAUGCAGCGACGCCGCGUGAGUGAUGAAGGAAUUCGUCUCGUAAAACUUUGUUCUAUGGGAAGAAAAGGACUGUACCAUAGGAGAAAGCUCCGGCUAAAUACGUGCCAGCAGCCGCGGUAAUACGUAUGGAGCGAGCGUUGUCCGGAAUUAGUGGGCGUAAAGGGUGCGCAGGCGGCGUUACAAGUUGGAUGUGAAAUAUUGUGGCUCAACCACAAACGUGCAUCCAAAACUGCAGAGCUUGAGUUGAGGAGAGGUAAGGGGAAUUCCUGGUGUAGCGGUGGAAUGCGUAGAUAUCAGGAGGAAUACCGGUGGCGAAGGCGACUUACUGGACUUAAACUGACGCUCAGGCACGAAAACGUGGGGAGCAAACAGG